UCGAGCGGAGAGAGGUAGCUUGCUACUGAUCUUAGCGGCGGACGGGUGAGUAAUACUUAGGAAUCUGGCUAUUAGUGGGGGACAACAUUUCGAAAGGGAUGCUAAUACCGCAUACGUCCUACGGGAGAAAGCAGGGGAUCUUCGGACCUUGCGCUAAUAGAUGAGCCUAAGUCGGAUUAGCUAGUUGGUGGGGUAAAGGCCUACCAAGGCGACGAUCUGUAGCGGGUCUGAGAGGAUGAUCCGCCACACUGGGACUGAGACACGGCCCAGACUCCUACGGGAGGCAGCAGUGGGGAAUAUUGGACAAUGGGGGGAACCCUGAUCCAGCCAUGCCGCGUGUGUGAAGAAGGCCUUAUGGUUGUAAAGCACUUUAAGCGAGGAGGAGGGUACUGGUAUUAAUACUACCAGGUACUGGACGUUACUCGCAGAAUAAGCACCGGCUAACUCUGUGCCAGCAGCCGCGGUAAUACAGAGGGUGCGAGCGUUAAUCGGAUUUACUGGGCGUAAAGCGUGCGUAGGCGGCUAAUUGAGUCGGAUGUGAAAUCCCCGAGCUUAACUUGGGAAUUGCAUUCGAUACUGGUUAGCUAGAGUGUGGGAGAGGAUGGGUAGAAUUCCAGGUGUAGCGGUGAAAUGCGUAGAGAUCUGGAGGAAUACCGAUGGCGAAGGCAGCCAUCUGGCCUAACACUGACGCUGAGGUACGAAAGCAUGGGGAGCAAACAGGAUUAGAUACCCUGGUAGUCCAUGCCGUAAACGAUGUCUACUAGCCGUUGGUCUCUUUGAGGGGAUUAGUGGCGCAGCUAACGCGAUAAGUAGACCGCCCGGGGGAGUACGGUCGCAAGACUAAAACUCAGAUGAAUUGACGGGGGCCCGCACAAGCGGUGGAAGCAUGUGGUUUAAUUCGAUGCAACGCGAAGAACCUUACCUGGUCUUGACAUAGUAAGAACUUUCCAGAAGAUGGAUUGGUGCCUUCGGGAACUUACAUACAGGUGCUGCAUGGCUGUCGUCAGCUCCUGU
This 1014-nucleotide ribosomal RNA is filed under the name Acinetobacter ursingii. Its description in RNAcentral is "bacterial SSU rRNA". It matches the Rfam family "Bacterial small subunit ribosomal RNA", at positions 62 to 1065 of the family's 1533-position model. Lineage: Bacteria; Pseudomonadati; Pseudomonadota; Gammaproteobacteria; Moraxellales; Moraxellaceae. The record is from RNAcentral.